CCAGCAGACCGCCUUAUCGCCGUGUAGUAGAAUAAAUACACUACACGGAGGAAAGUCCGGACACCACAGAGCAGCAUAGCGGCUAACGGCCGUCACCCUAAAGUGAACUCGUUUUACUUUGGGGGAGGACAAGUGCAACAGAAAGCAAGUACAGGUAAGGCUGUAGUGAAAUCAGGUAAACUCUAUGCGGUGAAAUGCCAUGUAAACCUGCGUUUGAGAGCUGCUCGCGCGAUGCAGGAGGGUAGGCAGAUAGAAGGGUGCAGUAAUGUACACUCCAGAUAAAUGAUAAGGGCCCAGAAGUAGAACAAAGUUCACUUCUGGAGCACAGAAUCCGGCUUACAGGUCUGCUAUUUUU
Molecule: RNase P RNA, 355 nt
Filed under: Gilvibacter sp. SZ-19
Lineage: Bacteria; Pseudomonadati; Bacteroidota; Flavobacteriia; Flavobacteriales; Flavobacteriaceae
Description: Bacterial RNase P class A
Rfam family: Bacterial RNase P class A
About the family: Ribonuclease P (RNase P) is a ubiquitous endoribonuclease, found in archaea, bacteria and eukarya as well as chloroplasts and mitochondria.
Source: Rfam by way of RNAcentral